Pan troglodytes (chimpanzee) is the source of this 920-nucleotide RNA transcript. It is a transcript of the gene named dicarbonyl and L-xylulose reductase, with no coding region annotated. The transcript is spliced from 9 exons. Lineage: Eukaryota; Metazoa; Chordata; Mammalia; Primates; Hominidae. The record is from RefSeq and is a predicted model, not a curated record.
ACCGUGGCCGGAGCUUCAAGUUCCGCAGCCCCAGUGCGGAGGGCGGAGACUGUGCCGACAUGGAGCUGGGCCUCGCGGGCCGCCGGGUGCUGGUCACCGGGGCAGGCAAAGGUAUAGGGCGCGGCACGGUCCAGGCGCUGCACGCGACGGGCGCGCGGGUGGUGGCUGUGAGUCGGACUCAGGCGGAUCUUGACAGCCUUGUCCGCGAGUGCCCGGGGAUAGAACCCGUGUGCGUGGACCUGGGUGACUGGGAGGCCACCGAGCGGGCGCUGGGCAGCGUGGGCCCCGUGGACCUGCUGGUGAACAACGCCGCUGUCGCCCUGCUGCAGCCCUUCCUGGAGGUCACCAAGGAGGCCUUUGACAGAUCCUUUGAGGUGAACCUGCGUGCGGUCAUCCAGGUGUCACAGAUUGUGGCCAGGGGCUUAAUAGCCCGGGGAGUCCCAGGGGCCAUCGUGAAUGUCUCCAGCCAGGGCUCCCAGCGGGCAGUAACUAACCAUAGCGUCUACUGCUCCACCAAGGGUGCCCUGGACAUGCUGACCAAGGUGAUGGCCCUAGAGCUCGGGCCCCACAAGAUCCGAGUGAAUGCAGUAAACCCCACAGUGGUGAUGACGCCCAUGGGCCAGGCCGCCUGGAGUGACCCCCACAAGGCCAAGACUAUGCUGGACCGAAUCCCACUUGGCAAGUUUGCUGAAACUAGAAGAGCCUUUCCUCAACUUGUGCUAUUCACGAUGUCAUGAGCACAGACACAGCACCCUGAAGUCUAAUCCGCAUUUUAUCAUCUGAAGUCUAGACAAGUAACCGUCCCACAGAUGUACAUAACCGAGGGGCAGAGAAAACAGUCGUGUAUGCAGAAAUAACUAGGAAGUGACGUUUGCUGAUUUUGCUUUUAAUAACACAAAUUAUAAGCUUCUAUAAUUUAA